UAUGCAUAUAUGUUGCUCCAUAAGGGAGCUGGGCACCCUGUACACCCCUAAACCUGCCACUGAUAUGGUUACAAAUUUACUAGACAAAAAUUAAGAUAUACAAAUAUUUCCACAAUUUCAAAAUUAUUAUUUUUUUUUGUAUUUGAAAUAUAUGUUGGAAUUCAAAACAUUUUUACUCAGUAUAUUUAUCUAUUGCAAUUACAAUUUUAUUCUAAUAUUUAAAUCUUGACAUUACAGUUAUUGCAAUCUUUUCGGUGAUUAUAUUUAUUAAACUUUCGUAGUGUUUAAUCAGAUGGUUCACUUAUAUCAACAGCGUCCUUUAAAUCUGUUAUAGUCGCGAAGUCCCCAUAAAAAGGUACGUGGGAAACUUGCACUUCUCAAACAUUCCAAGAACGCCUUGUCGCAGUUGCAGUUUUUGUAGUCGCAAGAACCCAGAUUAUCUGCAAAU
Molecule: long non-coding RNA, 448 nt
Filed under: Mytilus galloprovincialis (Mediterranean mussel)
Lineage: Eukaryota; Metazoa; Mollusca; Bivalvia; Mytilida; Mytilidae
Source: RNAcentral